Molecule: small nuclear RNA, 19 nt
Filed under: Arabidopsis thaliana (thale cress)
Lineage: Eukaryota; Viridiplantae; Streptophyta; Magnoliopsida; Brassicales; Brassicaceae
Description: snRNA_17201
Source: RNAcentral
CAGGCUUCACAGCCUUUCC